This 253-nucleotide ribosomal RNA is filed under the name uncultured bacterium. Its description in RNAcentral is "partial 16S ribosomal RNA". It matches the Rfam family "Bacterial small subunit ribosomal RNA", at positions 524 to 776 of the family's 1533-position model. The record is from RNAcentral.
UACGAAGGGGGCUAGCGUUGCUCGGAAUCACUGGGCGUAAAGCGCACGUAGGCGGAUUGCUAAGUCAGGGGUGAAAUCCUGGAGCUCAACUCCAGAACUGCCUUUGAUACUGGCGAUCUUGAGUCCGGGAGAGGUGAGUGGAACUCCGAGUGUAGAGGUGAAAUUCGUAGAUAUUCGCAAGGACACCAGUGGCGAAGGCGGCUCUCUGGGCAGAUACUGACGCUGAGACGCGAAAGCAUGGGGAGCAAACAGG